Molecule: ribosomal RNA, 253 nt
Filed under: uncultured bacterium
Lineage: Bacteria
Description: partial 16S ribosomal RNA
Rfam family: Bacterial small subunit ribosomal RNA
Source: RNAcentral
UACGUAGGGUGCGAGCGUUGUCCGGAAUUAUUGGGCGUAAAGAGCUCGUAGGCGGCCUAUUGCGUCUGCUGUGAAAGCCCGGGGCUUAACCCCGGGUCUGCAGUGGAUACGGGCAGGCUAGAGUUCGGCAGGGGAGACUGGAAUUCCCGGUGUAGCGGUGAAAUGCGCAGAUAUCGGGAGGAACACCAAUGGCGAAGGCAGCUUGCUGGGACGGUACUGACGCUGAGACACGAAAGCUAGGGGAGCAAACAGG